RNAcentral lists this ribosomal RNA (646 nucleotides) under Clavaria fragilis. RNAcentral's name for it is "LSU rRNA". It matches the Rfam family "Eukaryotic large subunit ribosomal RNA", at positions 34 to 651 of the family's 3401-position model. RNAcentral also lists the same sequence under 1 other name. Lineage: Eukaryota; Fungi; Basidiomycota; Agaricomycetes; Agaricales; Clavariaceae. The record is from RNAcentral.
CUAAGCAUAUCAAUAAGCGGAGGAAAAGAAACUAACAAGGAUUCCCCUAGUAACUGCGAGUGAAGAGGGAAAAGCUCAAAUUUAAAAUCUGGCAGUUAUUUGCUGUCCGAGUUGUAAAUUGGAGAAGUGUUAUCCGCGCUGGCCUGUGCAUAAGUCUCUUGGAAAAGAGCAUCAUAGAGGGUGACAAUCCCGUCUUUGGCACAGACUACCAGGGCUUUUGUGAUGCGCUCUCAACGAGUCGAGUUGUUUGGGAAUGCAGCUCUAAAUGGGUGGUAAAUUCCAUCUAAAGCUAAAUAUUGGCGAGAGACCGAUAGCGCACAAGUACCGUGAGGGAAAGAUGAAAAGAACUUUGGAAAGAGAGUUAAACAGUACGUGAAAUUGUUGAAAGGGAAACGCUUGAAGUCAGUCAUGUCUCACUGAAAUCAACCUGGCACUUGUCUGGUGUACUUUCUGUGGGACAGGUCAGCAUCAGUUCUGAUUGCUGGAAAAAGGCCUUGGGAAUGUGACAUCUUUUCGAAGAUGUGUUAUAGCCCUUGGACCACAUACAGUGGUUGGGACUGAGGAACUCGAUGUGUGGUAUGCUCUGGGGUUUCGGUCCUGGAGUCAUGCAUUCAAGGAUGCUGGCAUAAUGGCUUUAAUCGACCCG